GAGAGAUGGYUGAGUGGUUGAYAGCCCCGGUCUUGAAAACCGGUAUAGUUCUUAA
Molecule: transfer RNA, 55 nt
Filed under: Restrepia trichoglossa
Lineage: Eukaryota; Viridiplantae; Streptophyta; Magnoliopsida; Asparagales; Orchidaceae
Description: partial tRNA-Ser
Source: RNAcentral